This 395-nucleotide ribosomal RNA is filed under the name uncultured bacterium. Its description in RNAcentral is "bacterial SSU rRNA". It matches the Rfam family "Bacterial small subunit ribosomal RNA", at positions 505 to 898 of the family's 1533-position model. The record is from RNAcentral.
GUGUCAGCCGCCGCGGUAAUACGUAGGGGGCUAGCGUUGUCCGGAAUUAUUGGGCGUAAAGAGCGUGUAGGCGGUUCGAUAAGUCUGCUGUAAAAGUCGGGGGCUCAACCCUCGAAGGCCGGUGGAUACUGUCGAGCUAGAGUACGGAAGAGGCGAGUGGAAUUCCUGGUGUAGCGGUGAAAUGCGCAGAUAUCAGGAGGAACACCAAUUGCGAAGGCAGCUCGCUGGGACGUAACUGACGCUGAGACGCGAAAGCGUGGGGAGCAAACAGGAUUAGAUACCCUGGUAGUCCACGCUGUAAACGAUGGGAACUAGGUGUGGGGGGUGUCGACUCCCUCCGUGCCGAAGCUAACGCAUUAAGUUCCCCGCCUGGGGAGUACGGCCGCAAGGCUAAA